Molecule: long non-coding RNA, 614 nt
Organism: Phragmites australis (common reed)
Lineage: Eukaryota; Viridiplantae; Streptophyta; Magnoliopsida; Poales; Poaceae
Exons: 2
Source: RefSeq, a predicted model, not a curated record
CUAUUUCUCCCUGACUUCUGUUGUUGAUAAAAUAGUUGAUACUGUUAACUUCGAUGUCAAUGCAAAGGGGGAUAGAUCUGCCCUCAAAUCUCUAUCUUGGUGAUGAUGGUGAAUCGAUGGUAGAUGACUAUGUACGUUAUAUAUACAUACGUGGGACGGCACCAGUGAUGCCAAUCUUAUUAAAGAAGAAGAGAAUUGACCCAAAAACCUUAACAACUGACCGGCUGAAAACCGGUAGACAACCCCGACCUCAUAUGUCAAAAAAUAUCCAUGUCCCUUGCCUUGGUUUUCAUCUCAGCUACGAUUACUUCUAUAUGGGUGGCAUGCCCUGCCAUGAAAUAUGUGUAAUUGAGCACCGAGGUUUGAAGAAAUGUGGACCCUUGUCCUUCCUGUGCUAGAAGUUCUCUUUCCAGUUGUUGCAACUGUCAGUAACAAACUUCCAAUUGAUGUGUAUUGGUUGAAUUCGUUGUUAUUGCUGCCGGCGUUAUGGGCAUAAUGUUUUGCCUCAUGCCGAGUUAAGCGUUCAUUUCUUUGGUGUCUUCAUGCUCAUCCCUGAAAUAACAUUGUCCGUGCACCUUGAGUCCGGAAAAAUGAACAGCAACGUUAAAGUCUCA